UACGGAGGGGGCUAGCGUUGUUCGGAAUUACUGGGCGUAAAGCGCGCGUAGGCGGCUUUGUAAGUUAGAGGUGAAAGCCCGGAGCUCAACUCCGGAAUUGCCUUUAAGACUGCAUCGCUAGAAUCAUGGAGAAGUGAGUGGAAUUCCGAGUGUAGAGGUGAAAUUCGUAGAUAUUCGGAAGAACACCAGUGGCGAAGGCGACUCACUGGACAUGUAUUGACGCUGAGGUGCGAAAGCGUGGGGAGCAAACAGG
Molecule: ribosomal RNA, 253 nt
Filed under: uncultured bacterium
Lineage: Bacteria
Description: partial 16S ribosomal RNA
Rfam family: Bacterial small subunit ribosomal RNA
Source: RNAcentral